This 12579-nucleotide long non-coding RNA is filed under the name Mytilus galloprovincialis (Mediterranean mussel). The record is from RNAcentral. Lineage: Eukaryota; Metazoa; Mollusca; Bivalvia; Mytilida; Mytilidae.
AUGUAUGCUAUGUACAGCAAUACAUAACCGAUGAUGGAGUGACUCUCUUUGAUGUUGGCUGUCAAGAUCCUCGGGUAUGAUUGUCUGUUUGGUAACGUUGCUAAUACUUAUAAUUCCAGAUUUCUAAACAAUAACUAGUUUAAUGCAAUAAAGUAAGAUCCAAACUGACUCCAACAAGUUUUGCCUUACUUUUUUUACUGUUAUAUUAAGUUCCUUUUAAGGUUUAAGGGGAGAAUAUAUUAUUCGUCUUUCGACAAUGCAAUGGCGUUAGAUCAUUUAUCCAGAAUCGCGUUAAUGAAUGCACACACAUUUACAAAUUAUUUUUUUAGGCUUUUUGUUAAUAUUCAGCAUUUUGAUGCUUGGAUGAUUUUUUUUUAAUUUGAAUUUUGCUGUUGUAACGCCACUUCUGAGCAUCGCUUUUGGACUAUUGCGUGGCGGCUAGUUUUUAUAGAUAGAGGAAACCGCAGUGCAAGAGAAAACCCACCAACCUUCGAUUCGAAAAUUGACAAUCUUAGUCAAUUAAGAUUUGAGUCGAGUGCACCUGCAUGAGCGGGGUUCGAACUCCAGUGUUGACUGAUUAGUGAUUAUAGUAACUUCUUGGGCCACUCGGCCACUGAUCCCCCUGCUUGGAUGAUAAGGAAAAUUAUUGACAAAAUUUCAAUUUACAUAGAAAAAGCAGACAGGACACCAUACAGCCUUCAACACUGAAAAACAUAUACUGUAUAGGUGGAUAUAAAAGGUCACACAAUGAUCGCUGUAAAACAAUUAUACGAUUUAAAUUUAAUUUUAUCGACUCAUGUAUAAGCAAUACUCAUAUUUUUGAUAUAUGACUUCAUUUUUGAAUAGUAUCUUCAUCAUUCGUAGAGUAAUGGACGAUUUACUUUGCGAAACUGGUUAGUCACUACAGUAUCAUAAUUUAAACAAACACACAUUUUUAUGUUUUCUCUGAAUGUUAACGUUUUUUAUUUAGUAUGUUCUUUAUUUCAGUUAUGUGCAGCAAGUAGUAACCCCCAACCAGUAGGGAGACGAUAUGUAAAUGGAAGCAAACGUGACGUCACUAUUGUUUGCCAUCAAUGUUGUGACAACAAGGAUUUGUGUAAUAUUGAUGGACAUUGUGGGUCUAUCAGUAUGUUCAUUUGGCAGGUUUUGAAUUGAAGCGAAGGGGCCCAUUUGAAACAAUGACGACAGUUUGAAUUCUUUAACAACCAGAUAAAUUCAAAAACAUAAAAUUACUCAAAAUUUGUUUUCACAAUGAAGAAUUAAUUCAUCAGUAUAUUGUUACCCUCUUAAUAUAAAUGGUCUAAGUAGGCACACUAUCAAUUCUUUAAUUGUUACUGUAUUUGCGACUUCAGGAAGCGAAUUAAUUUAGCUACAGCUGUUAAAUGUAGUUACUUUCUUUCGCUUAGAAAAAACAAAUCAAAUCUGCUGCAAAAUACUAGGUCCAAUAACACCCCUAUUUGACCCCAAAAUAUAGCAGUUUUACAAAAUUGUUAAAAUGUAAAUUUUUAGUUAUUUAUUGGAACGAAAACUUCUUCUGUAAUAUAAAUAUGGGCUGUUUUUGACAAUACAGUGCACAUAUAUCGGCUAUACUGCAUUUUUAAGUCAUGCUAAAUUACUGAAAUCUUAACAAUUUUAGCAUUUAAGUUUAAUUUUAGACGCUUUCCGUCUAAAAUGAAAAUGGCCGCAUUUGUGUUCAUUCAUAAUAUUGAAAUGUAAGUUGUUUUUGAUGAUAAUAUAUAACAUAUAUAAAGGUUGAGGAUGAACACGGAUGCUUCCACUUUCAGUUUUGCAAAACAAAUCUGAAAAGUAGCAUGUUUUGGCAUGUUUGAUAGUUUUUUCAUAUUUAAGCUUGAAUCGGAGCGUUUUAAAUGAUUAAAUCAGUUAAAAUCUGGUACAUUAAUUAAUUGAAUCGACUGAAAUAGACACUAAAGUGUUUAAAAAGUGUCCAAAAUGUUUCGUCAGAUGAACCUGAAAUUUGAGGCCAAAAUUGGCCCUUACCGGACCUACUCUUUUUCAUUAUGAUUCAUUAAGUCUACCAUGUCUACAUCAGCUAUAGAUAUUUUGAGUCGUAAACGUAGGAUCUGAUAAACAUCUCAGAGAUUUGCAUGGCAACGCAUAUAAUAUUCCCUUGAAAAACAAGGGUUUUUUAAUCCGUAAUCAGACAUUUUUCAAUAUAUAAAAAACGAAGUCAAAAUAUCUCCUGUUGCAAAAACUGAAAAUUUAAUCUGUUUCAUCUUGAAUAUAUCAUAUGUUUAUUUACGUGCAUUUUCUAAAACUAAGGACCACUUCCCUGGAAAACAAAUCAACCGAACCGAGCUACCUUCAAACCUGGUUUGUAACAUUUCCAGGUGAAAACAUAUACCAAAUAUCAAGCAAGAUGACAAAAUGUUGAAAGAUAAUUCAACGAACAGACAAGUGGAGUCCAUAUCAAAAUAAUACUAAAAAAUGAAUCUUCAACAUGCAUUAGUGAAAGAAUCCUAGAUACAACUUAAUGACGUGUGUGGUUACUUUCUUAAAUGUUUGCAAUCUCUUCAAUUACGUAUGAAACAUUAUUAUAUUCUAUAUACAAAUUGCACGUACUGUACUCUAAAUUUGUUAUAGAAUUUAACUCUCCUAUUGGACAAAAGCUGUGUUACAAAUGUCAUAAGGCAGGAAGCCCUGAUGAAUGUACUAACAUAGGUCUAUGUGACCAGGACAACGUAUGUACAAUAUAUAGUGAAAACGCUCAUUCUAGUAGAAAAAGAAAUUGUCGAAUUUAACGUUCCAUAUUCUUUUAAUUGAAAAAAAAUCUACGAACAAAUUAAAAACCAUUGUCUUGCAAGUAUAUUUUGUUGCCUUUGUCUUCACAAAACUGGUUUAAAAUAGGCUAUAAGCUUUAAAACGACUAAGUCGCUCUUAUGGAUCUAUGUGCAUCUUUUUACAAUAGCAAAAAUCGAAUAUUACUUGCGUUUCUGUUUUAUUAAUUAUGUGUUGCCGAAGUUCCAUUUAGUUUAUAGAUUACCGGUUUUAACUAAGUUUGUAUGUUGCCGAAACAUCAAGAACUGACAGAUAUCGAUACAACCGGUAUUGUAUGAAAGUAACAAAUAAAAAUAAAAUUAACGCUUGUUUACAUUUGCGAAGCUCAUUUUUGGAACACUGAACCUAGACAUUGUUAAGACUAAACGUGUAAAAAGCUCGCUGAUCAAACUGAUAUCGACUGACGAUCUCGACUAUGUUGAUCUAUAUGUAUACUUUAUUCAAUUUAUAAAUAAGAAGAUGUGGUAUGAUUGCCAAUGAGAAAACCGUCCACAAGAGACCAACAUGAUACAGAAAUUAACAACUAUAGGUCACCGUACAGCCUUCAAUAAUGAGCAAAGCCCAUACUGCAUAGUCAGCUAUAAAAGGUCCAGAAAUUACAAUGUAAAACAAUUCAAACGAGAAAACUAACGGCCUUAUUUAUUUAUGAACUAAAAACAAAUAUGUAACACAUAAAAAAACGACAACAACUAAAUUACAGGCUCCAUUGAUAGUUUUUGUCAAAUGGGCUUUAUCGCUUACAAAAAAAGGAAACAACAAAUUCAGCCAUGUUGACAUUUUUUACGGUAUUAUCUUAAUUUGUGUUAAUGUCCCGCCGCAACGGACGGGCUAAAUUUGUUACCAUUGUUCGUCUGUACUAACUAACGUCCCACAAUUAUUUUGCUUAAACCAAAAGUGACCUCUUAAACUUAUUUACAAUGAUUCUUACCAUAACACACAAAUCAAGUUGAAAUCGGGUGGUGUUACUUGUACAGUUCUCUAGUCAAGUCCCCUCAUAACGUUUACGCAAUUAGAGGCGUCAUCUGUGUCUCAUUAACACAAUCCCAAUAAAUUUUGUAUCUUUAAUGUUCCAAGGUAAUAUGCAAAUAUGAGAACGAUCGGUAAAAUCCUCCUGUUCUGCAAAAAGGUUUGCCUUAUUGGCAUGUGGGAUCAUCGGAAACGUUUCUAAAACUGACCUUAAUGGUGAUUGUGGACGAACUCUGUUAUCACUGAUUGGACUGCUUGUAUAAAUUAACAAAUGAUGAUUGUGGACGAAUUCGGUUAUCACUGAUUGGACUGCUUGUAUGAAUUAACUAAUGAUAACCAAUUAGCAUAUUAAUCUAUUCCAAUAACAAAUCAUAAUAUAAAAUAAAAUUUGUAGAUUUAGCUAACAAAGUCCUUAUAUUUGUAUAAAGUAACAUUUGUUUAUAGUGGAAAAUUGUUUUAACUUUAAAUAAGCUACAAUUUAAAAUUGCUUGCUAGUCUCUCUCUGUGAUUACCAUCAGAUAACUCUGGUUCAUUUCUCAAUCAAUCUAUCAUUAGGGGAAGAUAAAUAUAUCGAUUUUCAUUUAUAGUCUGUUUUCAUAAAUGAUAUACGGUUCUUUUUUUUUUUGGUAUGUAAUCAUUUUAAACUUUUCAAAUUUAUGACAUUAUAUUAAUUUCGUUCAUCAAUUUUUUUAUACACCAAUACCAAAAACUGAAAUAUGUUGAAUUGAUACAUUUUGUAAUUAUUCAAAAUUAUAUCAGAAACCUGAACUUAAUUAUAAUGAACCUGUUAAAGGGAGACAAUACUCGCAUAACUUUUUCGAAUUGCCACAUAAUACAAAGGAAUGUCACUUUUGCAUACAAAUGGCACAUCAAUAUAAUUAACUAACUGUUAAAAUAUUUCUUUGCAAUUUUUUAAAACUUCCUCAGAAAAAUGCUCGAGCCACUUGACUUGCAUAGCUCAUAAUUAACGUUUUUACACAAUAUUUAAAUUAAGUAGCUGAAGAUUAUUCGCUUCUCAAAGUGUAAGACGCAAUAAAAAUCGCAUGCUUGAACCAUCUUACCCAAAUACAGAUUUUCUUAAGUUCUGAAAAUUUCGACAUUUCUUCGUUUAUUUUUAUUAAAACCGGUUUUAAACAAAUCACAAGUACGUGUUCUGAUCCGACUUAAUACCUAUAUCCCGAUAUCGUCAGGUAAAUUUGCUAAACCAAUCCACAGUGAUGGCAAUAGCUCUCACUUAACGUGGAGUCGUUUGAGCUUAUACAAUAUAACGUGGUGAAUUGAUAGUUACACAAUGUGCUAGUUACCUACCGUGAUAUAUAUUGGGUCACUAAAAUCCAUUUUCGGUUCGAAAUUUGAAAUUUGCAGACAACAUUCAUAUCGUAUAAGUUCACAAGCACACUAUGUAACAAAUAUACAUUCCUUACUUUCUAAACAUGCGUCAAUUAAACUAGUGGUAUAUCAAAGUGAUGGAAUCUUAAAUAUAAAGAACCUACUUCCGUUGGUCUAUCAGAAAAAAACGUUGAUAGCUUUUAAUUUGCUUGAUUUCUAUAUUGGUUUUUGUUACUUUCCUAAUCUGUUGUACGGCCGAAACGUGUCAAAUUUUCCUCAAAUAUGUGCUUUUUUCGAAAGGGAUACCCCAUUACUAACUGAGUAUUAUAAUACUUACCCUAUAUUAACCAAAGUCAUAUUAAAUAUACACGACCUUCACGUGAUUGUUUUUUACCAAUAAUUUUCUUAGAAAUGUAUUGGUGGUAAGAUAAAUGAGAUUAUUGAUACAAUACACCGACAAUAAUUAUAUAUAAAAGGCUACAUACAGUUUUCAGCAACAAAUAUGUGGCUAUCCAUAAUAUCAUAAAAAUCUUGAGUCUAUAAAAAUUGUUACUUUCUUUUAACAUACACAAUACAAGAUCGUCCACCACAAACUUUUAUCCAAAUAAUAGUGAAGCAUCGAAAUAUCUAACAGGACAACUACUGACGAUGAGCAUGCUCAUUGAAAUAUUGUGUUACGAAUUAUGACUGAGAAUUAUUAAAUACUAUUUAUUCAUACGAUCGAAGAUUAUAGGUUGAUUUUUUUUGAUAUUUUGGCAGUUUAUGGAUGUAUUUAAAAUAUUUGUUUCAAUUUUCAAGAUGCUAUAGGACAAUGUUUAUAAAUUCUAUUCAUUAUCUGCGUAAUUAUUUUAUUUACCGCUGAUAUUGAUCUCUUCUUUUCGUUUUAGUCUUGUUCCAUUAACAUAGAAACAAAUAUCCUUGGUGUAUCAAAAUGGACGAGCGGCUGUUCACGUCAUGUGGUAAAUUACAAUUAAUCACAAUUUCCAAAAAAUCGUCCUUAUGAAUAAUAACAAACACCAAAGAACUAAACUUUUCAGAGUUUAUUAUUACCGGAAGUAGUUAUUUGGUGAAUAUAGUGUUUACUAUGCAUUAAAAUAAUAACAAACACCAAAGAACUAAACGUUUCAGAGUUAAUUAUUACCGGAAGUAGUUAUUUGGUGAAUAUAGUGUUUACUAUGCAUUAAAAAAAAUCAGUCAGUCAUAUUGUUGAUUUCCUAAAUGAAAUGGACUGAUAUCAUGUAACAUAAAAGGUAAUUUUGAAGUACGUAAGGCCCAUGUUUCCAGAUUAGUAUUCAUGAGAUUAACAUUAUUUGCUGGCAACAACACAAAACAAAUCAAACAUUAGGGUCAUUUAUGAUAAAUCAUUGAUCUUUUUGUAUCCAUGAAAACACAAAACUGGAAUCCCAAAAAUUGCAUUUGUUGAUUGAGUUUUACUCAUCCUUAAGAAUUAUGUCCCCAUGUGUUGAUUCAAUGCUUAAUAUAUGGAAAUUUUAUAGAAAAUCCACAGCAUUUAUCCUAUCACCCUCAUUUUUGGCAAUUUCAUGACUGAUAGAUAUAAAAUUAUUGCAUGCAGUGUUAGCAUUGAUUUCCUCAAAACGAGUUAAUUAAUGAAGCUAUUAGUUACAAAUUAAAAUAUGGACCAAAUCAAGUUCACCUUUUAGGGUGCGCUAGCGCUCGACUUAAGUGACUCAAGACGAGGUAUUUUGGAAUUUACAGGUUGCUUAGAAUUUUAUAUCAGCACAUCAUAAACAAGCAAUUGAUUAAUAUAUGUUUCAAAUUUUAUUACAAAAAUCUCCGUAUUAAAGGCUGUGGAUUUUCUAUAAAAAUAUUGGUUUAUUUGCCAAAAAGUACUCUUUUUCUAUUAAAUGCAAUGAAACAAUAAAUACUAAUGCUUUGCAUCAAGUUUCCCCUUCGUAUAUGUACAAAAUAGCCCGUCUUUAUUAUUCAUUACAUCUGUAGUUUUGAUACAAUUGAAGUUUGAAAAUUCGUACAAAAAUGGCUACAGAAGGGGUCAUAAACCUUUAAAGUACAUACAAUAAAAUUGAGAAUGGAAAUGGGGAAUGUGUCAAAGAGACAACAACCCGACCAAAAAAAAAAACAACAGCAGAGGGUCACCAACAGGUCUGCAAUGUAGCGAGAAAUUCCCGCACCCGGAGGCGUCCUUCAGCUGGCCCCUAAACAAAUAUAUACUAGUCCAGUGAUAAUGAACGCCAUACUAAUUUCCAAAUUGUACACAAGAAACUAAAAUUAAAAUAAUACAAGACUAACAAAGGCCAGAGGCUCCUGACUUGGGACAGGCGCAAAAAUGCGGCGGGGUUAAACAUGUUUGUGAGAUCUCAACCCUCCCCCUAUACCUAUAACCAAUGUAGAAAAGUAAACGCAUAACAAAAUGUAUACCAGUCCGUGUAAUGGAACAACCGAUUCAUUUUUUUCUAUUUUUUAAAUGGAGGAAUCAACGUGUGAAAUGGGUGUAGAAAAUUGGUCACUACAAGUCUUCUGUCUACAGACAGUAGAGAAUUAGCCCAGUAGUCAGCACUUCGGUGUUGAAAUGAAUAUCAAUUAUGUGGUCAUUUUUAUAAAUUUCCUGUUUACAAAACAAAGGAAUUGCUUGUCCAAGGAAUACAUUACCUUAGCCGUAUUUGGUACAAUUUUUUGGAAUUUUAAAUCCUCAAUGCUCUUUAACUUUGUAGUUGUUUGGCUUUAUAACAAUUUUUAUAUGAGCGUCACUGAUGAGUCUUAUGUAGACGAAACGUGCGUCUGGCGUGCUAAAUUAUAAUCCUGGUACUUUUGAUAACUAUUUAUAUAAUCAGAACUAAGUUUAGAUUAUAUAGUUAUUAAGAUAUUGGUUCCCUUCUUAAAUGAAAGCGAGUGAUGAAUAUACUUUACGGAAAUGCGAUCUAUAUAAUACUUAUAAAACUUAUAAAACGAUUUUUUCAGCAAUGUAGUGCGACAAUUGGGUCAAAGUAUUGUUGUAAUUCCAGACUUUGUAAUAGUUUAUGUCAUACAGUAACAUCAGUAGUUCAACGGAGUGAGUAUAUCCGUCCAUAUUGAUUGAAUAUGUUAUUUUGUCUUGAUAUCUUUGAUGUUCAUCCAUCAAGUUGUUAUUGUUUAAAUUAAUUUAGACCAAAUGUAGAAUAGCAUUAUCAAAAAAUAAAUACUACUCACAAAGAUCGCAAGGAUGGGUGAACAUAUGUUAUAUGUAAUAUUUACUAGAUAAUAAAAUUAAGCUAUACAAUUAAGAAUGGAAGUUCGGGAUAUGUUAAAGAGACCGAACAGCAAACAACAGCCGAACUAGAAAUGUUAUAGAUCAAUACUAUACAAUACAAAAAUAUUAAAUUUGGGUCGCUUUAUUUCCGUUAUGAUUAAUAAUAAAGACACGUUUGUCAGAAAUGUAUGCAGUAACAUUAAAUUUCAACUUGAUUUAUUUGAAAUAUGGUGCAUAUUAUACUAUUUAGGUAUUCAGUACUGUUCGUAACAUGUAUAGGAUGCACGUAUAAUGCAAAUAGGUAUAAGGGAUACAUUAAUUACUGCGCGACUCGUAGACGUUUAGUGGAAAGAGUGAGAAGCGUAUGAACAAAAAUCAGUACCAAUGUUUAUAUAAAAUCAUAAUUUGACAGAAACUUUUAAAUAGAUUUUUCAGCUUGUUUUGGCAUGUACGUUUUUAUUUUAACAAACUGUCAUUCUAUAAAAUUGAGAAUGGAAAUUGUGUAAUGUGUCAAAAAGACUACUACUACCCGACCAAACAGUUGAAUACAGCCGAAAGUCAGUAAUGGGUCCCCAAAACAGCGAGAAAAUUCCGCAGCCGGAGGAAUGUUUAAGCUGGUCCCAAAAAGCUAUUAAAGUCCCUAAAAUUUUUGUUGCAAUUCAUUGUUUGCUUUUUGUGCUUCGAAAUGUCUACACGCCUAUUGCAUUCAUAUUUUGCAUUACAAUUCGUGUAUUGCGUGUAUUUUGAUGGCUGUUCUAGAAAGAGGUGUUUUGAGAUUAAAAUUUUCGAAACUAAGUGUGCAUUGGUUUUAUCUAUGUUUAACAAACUUAUUUAUUACAGGUUGCCCUUCAAAUUGGAUUUCUUGGUGUAACAAAUGCCUAUUGUUUUCUUCUGUGGACAAAUGCUGGAUGGAUGCAGAGGUAUUUUAAGUGACAAUAUGUCUUAUCUAUGUUUCCCAUGAUGACAUAUUUAUUCAUUAUAGAUUGGAUUCAAAUUGGAUUUCGUGGUGUACCAAAUGCCUAUUGUUUUCAUCUGUUGACAAAUCAAGGGUUGAUGCAGAGUUAUUUAAGUGACAAUAUGUUAAGUGAUUUGAUUUUGCCAUGUGAUUAUAGACAUUUCGAUUAGAUUUUCCUCUGAGUUCAGUAUUUUUGUGAUUUUACUUUUUGCUUCACUCACAAUUUAAAACAAACUUUAAUAUUUUAGCCUUGAGCCAAGGCUCCGUGUUGAAGGCCCUACCUUGACCUAUAAAGGUUUACUUUUAAAAAUUGUAACGUGGCUGGAGAGUUGUCUUAUUGGCACUCAUACUACAUAUUCCUAUGUCUAUUGUAUAUACCAUCUGAAAAUGGAAAUAUCGGAUUCAUUUUGUAUAGACUGUUUUGAAUGGCAAUGAAAACAUAAUACGAAGUUCAUAACCAAAUUACCAUUGGUAUAAGUAUCAAAGCUGUUGUACAUUGUAAUACAUGUUGGAUUACAAUGGUUACAAAACAUAUUUUGGUAACUCUUAACUAUAUGUUAGUCAAGAACCGCAAAGCAAUUUAACUUUUGGCAUUUUAGUGAGAAUGAAGUAUGUUCAUUUAUGCAUAAUAACGGAUACUGCUGAACAAAUUUUAUAAAUCUAUUUAAGGGACACAGGCUAUACAAUAUUUUUUGUUAUCAAAAAUAUUUUAUUAGUGAAAUAAUGAAUCACUUUUAGCUGUCAGCAUGGUUCAAUUUUGUCAAUCUAAGCUCAGAAACAUUGAUGAUACAGUUAAAGACGAUGAUUGAUAUAAAUUUUUAAUCUGAAAUAUGAAACAGACAAAGCAAAUCCAAUGGCACGAAUUCCCUUUCUAUUUUCAUGUAUAUUUAUGUUUAAAAAGCUUGUAUGACAAUUGGAGGUGUUCAAAGGUCAAAUCUAUAGAUACUAAGAUUUUGUCAAAACCCACAUAAAGAUGUACACACUUAACAAAGCUACAUAUUCUCGAGCCUAAGUCUUGUAAAUUGCUUAUAUUAGACUGUUUCAAAAUUUGGAUAAAUGUUAUACAUUUUUAUAAAUCAAAUAUAAGACUCCGAGUAAAAUCGGUGAGCAUCAAUUUGACAGCUAGUGUCUUUUUAACUUGAUAAAGACGAAACGUCAAGUUAAUAUAAAAAAAUGGGGGAACUCCAUAAUCGCAACGCUACAAAAAUGAAUGCGUCGAAUGCAAAUAAUAAAACAUAAUAUUACUGUAACACAAUGAUUAAUUCUGUGCUGGUUUUUUUCCUAAAAUUUUUUUUGACUUCGCUACAGAGAUACUGUAAAAGUUUGCAUGGACAUUUGGUUGAGCUAAAAGAUUCUGCUACCAACACAUUUGUCAAAGAUCAUUUGAAAGCGAUGAAUGGUAAGCUACCAAUACUUUUUAUGAUCGAUAACGAUACUUGCCUCUCAAACGUACACAUGAGAGGUUUAGCGCUAUAACACCAGGUUCAAUUCACCUUAUUCUAUAUUUGAGAAUGUCUGUAACAGGUCAGGUAUAUGGCAGUUGUUGUCCAUUCGUUUGAUGUGUUUUUUCAUUUGAUUUUACAAUAUGAUUAGGAACUUUUCGUUUUGAAUUUUCCUCGGAGUUCAGUAUUUUUCUUAUUUCAAUUUUAAUUGAUAAAAAUGAAAUGAAAUGGUCAUUUCAGUGAUUUGAAAUAAGCUAUAAGAUAUAAUUUUAAGAUUGGUGUAAUGUACUACAGUUUAUUCAGGGUGCGAAUACAGCUGUAUAUAUCUUUUUGUAGUUAUCACUUUUAUAAAAAAAAGUUGAUCUAUUUGUAAAAUAAGCUGUUUCAAUAUUUCAGCUAACUCAACCAUUUGUCAACUGUUAAGAAUGUUUGAUUAAAAUCAUAAAAAACAUACACUAAUUUUUAAAUAAAAAAGGAUGUAUAUUGAUAACUAACUGUUUGAAUAACAAAAUUACAAAUAUUAGUAUUAAAACCUUUUAUUUAAUUUUUUGAAGGCAAUAAUCAUGUAUACUUUGUUGGAGCCACUGAUUUUGCUAAAGAGGGCAGUUGGAUUUGGCAUAAAAGUAAUACACAUGCAACAUUUUUUGAUUGGGGAGUGGAUCAAAUACCAUUCGUUGCCAAUCAUCAUGAAAAUUGUUUAACAUUAGACUACCAUGAAAACUUCGUAUGGCACGACUACCCAUGUCAAGACAAGUUACACUUUAUUUGUGAAAAAUAAAACAUGAGCAUAAAUAGCCUGCUGUUUUGAAUUAUAAUGCAUAUCCUACAUUGUUGUUCAUAUUUAUGAACCAAACAGGUGAUUUGGGUUGACAUAUGGUCACUUACUGUCUUAUUCCUAACGACGUAAAACCCAAGAUACAUUAUGACGUUUGUUUGAUUAUGCGAGUUGUGCAAGUUCGCAGAUACGCCCGAUCAAUUUUUAGUGUCUGUUUUUCUGUGCAAGUUGUCUGCUACGUUCAAUCGGAACAGUGUGAUAUCCAGUUAACAAACACAAACAAAAUUCACUAUUCGUAUGAUAGAUUCGAGAAAGCCAAUAAACCUUGUCACGCCAUACUUUAAAAUUACAUAUGUCUCGAACAUUUAAAUUCUUGGUUUUCCUAUACCAAACAGUAUGCGAUGUAGGUUUGACUAUUUUUUGAAGGCCGUACGAUGACUAAUAGUUGUUAAUUUCUGUGUCAGAUAGUCACUUGUGGAGAGUUGUCUCAUUGGCAAUCGUACCACUUCUUACUUGUGCUCAUUCGUGUCCGUCGUCGUUCAACGUCGUCUGUUAAGUUUUACAAAAAUCUUCUCCUCGGAAACUACUGAGCUAAAUUUAACCAAACCUGGGCUCAAUCAAUUUUGGGGUUUCUUGUUCAAAAAUGAGAUGGAUGAUCCCGCCCGACAAUCAAGAUGGCAAAUAUGGUUAAAAUCAGAACACUGGGGUUAAUUUUUUUUUAUCUUAUUUCUCUGAAACUAAAGCAUUUAGAACAAAUGUGACCGUGGAUUGAAAUAGUCAUCGUGUUGAGAUCUUUUUGCUCUUAAACUUUCAGACGAAUCAGAAAACCCGUUGUUAUGUUACUGCCCCUGAAUAUGUUAUUAUUAGAAAAUUUUACAGUUUAUGUAUAUAUUAUCUUUACUAUUAUUACAGAUAGAAAUAAACUGCAAACAGUAAUUAUGUUAAGUAAGAAUUGCAAAUAAGUUAAUAAGAACAAAAUUGUUAAUUGACCCUUUAAGCCCACUGUCCACCAAGGUUCAACAGGAGAAGAUGUCAGCAACAGUACGGUCUUCGACAAUGAUAAACAACCAUACUGUAUAGACAAAUUCAAUUCAAAUAACUAUUGGCCUUA